RNAcentral lists this ribosomal RNA (541 nucleotides) under Hiodon alosoides (goldeye). RNAcentral's name for it is "partial 16S ribosomal RNA". It matches the Rfam family "Bacterial large subunit ribosomal RNA", at positions 1856 to 2584 of the family's 2925-position model. The record is from RNAcentral. Lineage: Eukaryota; Metazoa; Chordata; Actinopteri; Hiodontiformes; Hiodontidae.
CGCCUGCCCAGUGACUCUGAGUUAAAUGGCCGCGGUAUUUUAACCGUGCAAAGGUAGCGUAAUCACUUGUCUUUUAAAUGAAGACCCGUAUGAAUGGCAUCACGAGGGCCCAGCUGUCUCCUUUUCCCAGUCAAUGAAAUUGAUCUGCCCGUGCAGAAGCGGGCAUGUAAACAUAAGACGAGAAGACCCUAUGGAGCUUAAGAUAUAUGACCAACCGCGCUUAGUAACCCUAAACCCAAAAGGAAACAAAAGGCAAAAGCGUAGCGGAACAUGGACUGAAUAUCUUCGGUUGGGGCGACCGCGGAGGAAAACAAAGCCUCCAUGUGGACUGAGCCAAGCCCUUAAAGCCAAGAGACACAACUCUAAGCAACAGACAAAUCUGACCAAAAAUGAUNNCAAAGCCCGAUCAACGGACCAAGUUACCCUAGGGAUAACAGCGCAAUCCUUUCCCAGAGUCCAUAUCGACGAAAGGGUUUACGACCUCGAUGAUUGGAUCAGACAUCCUAAUGGCGCAGCAGCUAUUAAGGGUUCGUUUGUUCAA